GACGAACGCUGGCGGCGUGCCUAAUACAUGCAAGUCGAACGGAUUAGUUCCAAGUGGCUUGCGUGUUGGAACUAGACAGUGGCGGAUGGGAGGGUAAUACGUAGGCAACCUACCUGGGAAAACGGGAUAACCCCGGGAAACCGACGCGAAACCAGGAUAAGCUCCUUUGUCGCGGUAAGGAGGAUUGAAAGGGUGGGGCCUGACGACAGAUGGGCCUGCGGGGCAUUAGCUAGGAGGUAGGGUAAGGGCCUACCUAGGCGAUGCUGCGUAACGGAGCUGCGAGGACGUAGCGCCAGACUGGGACUGAGCUCCGGCGCACAGUCCUACGGGAGGCAGUCGUAGGGGAGGUUGGGCAAUGGGCGAAAGCCUGACCGGGCGACGCCGCGUGAGGGAGGACGGCGUUCGGGAUGUAAAACUUUGUUGUUUGGGAAGAAGGCAAAGGGUAGGAACCUUUGGUGACGGUACCAAACGAGAAAGCCCCGGCUAACUACGUG
Molecule: ribosomal RNA, 494 nt
Filed under: uncultured bacterium
Lineage: Bacteria
Description: partial 16S ribosomal RNA
Rfam family: Bacterial small subunit ribosomal RNA
Source: RNAcentral